Long non-coding RNA from Sardina pilchardus (European sardine), 752 nucleotides. RefSeq lists it as uncharacterized. NCBI's taxonomy places the organism in Eukaryota, Metazoa, Chordata, Actinopteri, Clupeiformes, Clupeidae. The record is from RefSeq and is a predicted model, not a curated record. The transcript is spliced from 5 exons.
CUGAUAAAAAAAAAAAUCACAUAAAUGUUCACGUAAAGGAGACAGGAGUGAACUCUGCGCAUGUACAAGAGGAACGGAGGCGGGAAGCCGUAGCCGAGCCCAUUUCGAACUUUGUUUGAAACACACAGUCAGUUGAAGCCGUUGAAGCGUGAAGAUGGAACCUGCUACUGAGCACAUCAACUCUUAAGUGUGUCCCUGGAAGAUCUACCAUCAACUUCCAGAACUGCAACUGCUAGUACUGUCAGAUGGUGAAUGCUACUCAGGCAAACACCAUUGUUACACCACUUUGAAGGAGAGCCUGGUCAUUUGGUCCCCUCAGCUUCUCCCUUUCUCAGUGAUAUGUUCAUUGUGGCUGGGAGAAUUGUGGGGCACUCUUUCCUUCAUGGAGGACCCUGCUUGUCUGGACUCUGUGAUGUGGUUGUCCAUACUGCUUCGUGGGAGCCCAGACACGGCUACAGUAAACCUGGAGGACUGUGCAGACCUGGACAUUAGAGAAACAAUCAGGCUUCUGGAGGUGGAAUCAAACCUAUCAGCUGAAGAAAUGGGAAGGGUACAGAACGUGGCCUCUUCCUGGGACCUCCCUCCGCUAACCACAACCAACAGGGCCCUUAAUGCUCUGCGGUGAAAAAUGGAGCAACAAGGCUGACCGUGACAUCGGGAGAGCUGAGGCAGAUCAUCUUAAACAUGAUGCACCUGGACGGUCCGGUGGCGGAGACUUCAAGAAUUAAAUAAAAUUACAAUGAAAUGGAUAA